CCUCAGGCCCGCCUGCUUCAGAAGAAUUUUGAUUCCGUGGCUCUGUCCAGCUAUGGGGAAAGGCUAGGCGAAGCCUUCCAAUGCCGCCAGAGAAGUUUUUGGGUGCUAGGCCCUGGGCAGCUGCCCUUUUUUUUUUGUUUGGCUGCCGCCAGAGUGUUGUGCUCCUUACUUUGUACUGAAAUCUGUUCAUUUUUUUUUGAAGUUUAGCAUGUGUACAGUUUCCCAACAAUUUUUCUGAAGUGUGCAAUUUACUUAAUUUUUGUGCCAUGCGCAGGACGCUCGAUCGAUUCCGUUACUCAGCAUGAUCCGUUUGAAGGCUAUCUACGGAGAAGGAACUCGAUUUCAGAGUAUGAUUGUUUAUUACCGGUUCCCAUGCAUGCACAAAGUUUUGAGUGCACAUAGUUCUGCCGAAGCACGUAAUG
This 422-nucleotide long non-coding RNA is filed under the name Brachypodium distachyon (stiff brome). RNAcentral describes it as "long non-coding RNA (BDIS_LNC000500)". The record is from RNAcentral. Lineage: Eukaryota; Viridiplantae; Streptophyta; Magnoliopsida; Poales; Poaceae.